Molecule: ribosomal RNA, 676 nt
Filed under: uncultured Providencia sp.
Lineage: Bacteria; Pseudomonadati; Pseudomonadota; Gammaproteobacteria; Enterobacterales; Morganellaceae
Description: bacterial SSU rRNA
Rfam family: Bacterial small subunit ribosomal RNA
Source: RNAcentral
UCGGCUUAGAGUUUGAUCAUGGCUCAGAUUGAACGCUGGCGGCAGGCCUAACACAUGCAAGUCGAGCGGUAGGGAAGCUUGCUUCUCACGAGCGGCGGACGGGUGAGUAAUGUAUGGGGAUCUGCCCGAUAGAGGGGGAUAACUACUGGAAACGGUAGCUAAUACCGCAUAAUCUCUAAGGAGCAAAGCAGUUCGUUGCGCUAUCGGAUGAACCCAUAUGGGAUUAGCUAGUUGGUGAGGUAAUGGCUCACCAAGGCGACGAUCCCUAGCUGGUCUGAGAGGAUGAUCAGCCACACUGGGGCUGAGACACGGCCCAGACUCCUACGGGAGGCAGCAGUGGGGAAUAUUGCACAAUGGGCGCAAGCCUGAUGCAGCCAUGCCGCGUGUAUGAAGAAGGCCUUAGGGUUGUAAAGUACUUUCAGUUGGGAGGAAGGCGUUGAUUAAUAUCAACGAUUGACGUUACCAACAGAAGAAGCACCGGCUAACUCCGUGCCAGCAGCCGCGGUAAUACGGAGGGUGCAAGCGUUAAUCGGAAUUACUGGGCGUAAAGCGCACGCAGGCGGUUGAUUAAGUUAGAUGUGAAAUCCCCGGGCUUAACCUGGGAAUGGCAUCUAAGACUGGUCAGCUAGAGUCUUGUAGAGGGGGGUAGAAUUCCAUGUGUAGCCGUGAAUGCGUA